Molecule: long non-coding RNA, 525 nt
Filed under: Ananas comosus (pineapple)
Lineage: Eukaryota; Viridiplantae; Streptophyta; Magnoliopsida; Poales; Bromeliaceae
Description: long non-coding RNA (ACOM_LNC042753)
Source: RNAcentral
UUGCUCCUGGUUGGAGUGUGUGCGAAUUCCCAAGUGAGAAUUUCGCCCGAUCAUGAUUGGGUCUGCAUUUGCGAGCGAGAGACGCUGCGUAUUGAGACAGGUUUAGGUGGUAGGCCUACGUAGGAUUGGUGGCCUUUGGUCCACCUGUGGAGACCGAAGAGAGCGAUUUGGUAGGUGGCCUUAUCGAGGUGUUUGACUCGAAUUUACGAACGAAGCGCUCACGUGAGCUCGUUGCGAAAGUAGUUCGAUGUUGACCGUGGCAUAUGGUAUCAGAAGAUGAAGUGCUCUUGGUGAGACCUUGAGCGAGUAGUAAGCCACGUGGACUUGGAGGAUUGGAAUUGGGGAUGUGCUAAGAUAGGUCAUCUCACGUUAACGUUUAGGGUCAGUGCCAAAUUAGAGCACUCACGACGGAGCGAUGCACCGGUGAUAUUGCUUCUAAGCAAUGUCGGUGAUCGAAUCAGAAUGUAUUCCCUGAAGGGAAGUUAAGUGCAAAGAAGAGUUCUUUGUGUAUCGAAGGUGAGUGGU